CCAAGGCAUUUCCACUUCCUUCUGAUUUUUCUGAUUAAUUAAGUGUAUCUUAGAAACUGAAGUGACCAGUCUCAUUCCUUUAUUGCUCUCAGGCAAAAAGAGAAGAAGGAGGAGAUAAAAAGAAAAUACAAAAAACCCUGAGCAUUUCUGCAGUCCAAAGAGGAUAUUCCUAUUAGCAUGUCAUGGAAUUUAAAUCUCUAAACAUUCUAGAAGGAAAAAAUACAACAGCCAUCAAAACCCUACAAUACUGAAGAAAAAAUAUAGAGCCACCAGAAGCAAGGUAUCCCACAUAUUAAUCUUGCAAUCUUGCAACUGUGCUGUUUCCACAGAAAGUAUGUUACAGCUUAAACUUCAGGAUCUCAAAGCAAUGAAUGGAAGUGAACAGAAGUGGCGCUGUGUUGAAGCAUCCUAUUCAAGACUGAUUACAGGCUAUGCUAUGGAAAUUCUUACAUCAUCAAGUAUAAGAAAGAAGGAAAAUGCAGUUUCCACCAUGUUAAAUCUAUAUAAAAUACAUUCUCAAAAAGAAAAUCAAGGAGAACUGAAACAAACUAAAAAAAAACACCAAAAUGUUAAUGGGAUGAAGCGCUGA
Molecule: long non-coding RNA, 589 nt
Organism: Coturnix japonica (Japanese quail)
Lineage: Eukaryota; Metazoa; Chordata; Aves; Galliformes; Phasianidae
Source: Ensembl